AGUGAACGCUGGCGGUAGGCCUAACACAUGCAAGUCGAACGGCAGCACAGUAAGAGCUUGCUCUUACGGGUGGCGAGUGGCGGACGGGUGAGGAAUACAUCGGAAUCUACUUUUUCGUGGGGGAUAACGUAGGGAAACUUACGCUAAUACCGCAUACGACCUACGGGUGAAAGCAGGGGAUCUUCGGACCUUGCGCGAUUGAAUGAGCCGAUGUCGGAUUAGCUAGUUGGCGGGGUAAAGGCCCACCAAGGCGACGAUCCGUAGAUGGUCUGAGAGGAUGAUCAGCCACACUGGAACUAAGACACGGUCCAGACUCCUACGGGAGGCAGCAGUGGGGAAUAUUGGACAAUGGGCGCAAGCCUGAUCCAGCCAUACCGCGUGGGUGAAGAAGGCCUUCGGGUUGUAAAGCCUUUUUGUUGGGAAAGAAAAGCAGCAGGUUAAUACCCCGCUGUUCUGACGGUACCCAAAGAAUAAGCACCGGCUAACUUCGUG
Molecule: ribosomal RNA, 492 nt
Filed under: uncultured bacterium
Lineage: Bacteria
Description: partial 16S ribosomal RNA
Rfam family: Bacterial small subunit ribosomal RNA
Source: RNAcentral